Molecule: ribosomal RNA, 677 nt
Filed under: Lutjanus griseus (grey snapper)
Lineage: Eukaryota; Metazoa; Chordata; Actinopteri; Lutjaniformes; Lutjanidae
Description: partial small subunit ribosomal RNA
Rfam family: Bacterial small subunit ribosomal RNA
Source: RNAcentral
CCACCGCGGUUAUACGAGAGACCCAAGUUGAUAGACACCGGCGUAAAGAGUGGUUAAGAUUUAUCCAAAACUAAAGCCGAACGCCCUCAGAGCUGUUAUACGCACCCGAGGGUUAGAAGCCCAACCACGAAGGUGGCUUUAAACAAUCUGAACCCACGAAAGCUAUGACACAAACUGGGAUUAGAUACCCCACUAUGCCUAGCCAUAAACAUCGAUAGUAAACUACCCCUACUAUCCGCCCGGGGACUACGAGCAUCAGCUUAAAACCCAAAGGACUUGGCGGUGCUUUAGAUCCACCUAGAGGAGCCUGUUCUAGAACCGAUUACCCCCGUUCAACCUCACCUUUCCUUGUUUCUCCCGCCUAUAUACCACCGUCGUCAGCUUACCCUGUGAAGGGCUGAUAGUAAGCAAGAUUGGCAUAGCCCAAAACGUCAGGUCGAGGUGUAGCGUAUGGAAAGGGAAGAAAUGGGCUACAUUCCCUAACAUAGUGAAAUACGAACGAUGCACUGAAAUACGCAUCUGAAGGAGGAUUUAGCAGUAAGCAGAAAAUAGAGCGUUCUGCUGAAACCGGCCCUGAAGCGCGCACACACCGCCCGUCACUCUCCCCAAGCUUACUUAUUCUAAGUACCUAAGACCCUAAAACUGCAAAGGGGAGGCAAGUCGUAACAUGGUAAGUG